GAUGAAGAACGUAGCGAAAUACGAUACGUAAUGUGAAUUGCAGAAUUCAGUGAAUCAUCGAAUCUUUGAACGCAUAUUGCGCUCUCUGGUAUUCCGGAGAGCAUGCUUGUUUGAGUAUCAGUAAACACCUCAACUUCCAUAUCUUUUUUGAAAUGGGAGUUGGACUUGAGUGAUCCCAACGCUUUUCCUCACCGAAAAGUGGCGGGUUACUUGAAAUGCAGGUGCAGCUGGACUUUUCUCUGAGCUAUAAGCAUAUCUAUUUAGUCUGCCUAAAAAACAGAUUAUUACCUUUGCUGCAGCUAACAUAAAGGAGAUUAGUUCUUGUGCUGACUGAUGCAGGAUUCACAAAGACGGCUUCGGCCGACUUUGUAAACUCGAUCUCAAAUCAAGUAAGACUACCCGCUGAACUUAAGCAUAUCAAUAAGCGGAGGA
RNAcentral lists this unclassified non-coding RNA (432 nucleotides) under soil metagenome. RNAcentral describes it as "partial contains 5.8S ribosomal RNA, internal transcribed spacer 2, and large subunit ribosomal RNA". The stretch from base 1 to 120 matches the Rfam family "5.8S ribosomal RNA", at positions 35 to 154 of the family's 154-position model. The record is from RNAcentral.